UGGCUGAGGGAGCUGGGGUGAGAAGAGGAGGCUUUCUACAAUCCUCUGCCUUACUGCGUUCUGCAACUACCUGAAAGGAUGCUGUAGUGAGGCAAUGUGAGUCUUGAAGCUACAGCACUUGGAUUCAUUGCUUCUCUCAUUGCCUUACCGGUGAAGCAGGACUGAGGAAGAAACUGUUUGAAAGUGUUGUCAGAAAUGGUUGCUCAUCUGACUCUAAACUCGAUUUGGAAAGAGGGCAAUGUAUGUUUCUCUUACUUGUUUCAUCUUCUAGGCUCUUUCACAAAGAGCUCAGUUAGAAGAGGUUUCCUGGGAGUUAUGCUGGCAGCAGUGUUAGUAAU
Molecule: long non-coding RNA, 338 nt
Organism: Pogoniulus pusillus (Red-fronted tinkerbird)
Lineage: Eukaryota; Metazoa; Chordata; Aves; Piciformes; Lybiidae
Exons: 3
Source: RefSeq, a predicted model, not a curated record